AGCGAAGCACGGGCCCGACCGGGCCAUGUCGGGGGAGCCUGAGCUCAUUGAGCUGCGGGAGCUGGCACCCGCUGGGCGCGCUGGGCAGGGCCGCACCCGGCUGGAGCGUGCCAACGCGCUGCGCAUCGCGCGGGGCACCGCGUGCAACCCCACACGGCAGCUGGUCCCUGGCCGUGGCCACCGCUUCCAGCCCGCGGGGCCCGCCACGCACACGUGGUGCGACCUCUGUGGCGACUUCAUCUGGGGCGUCGUGCGCAAAGGCCUGCAGUGCGCGCAUUGCAAGUUCACCUGCCACUACCGCUGCCGCGCGCUCGUCUGCCUGGACUGUUGCGGGCCCCGGGACCUGGGCUGGGAACCCGCGGUGGAGCGGGACACGAACGUGGUGGGGUCUGUGAGUGGAGCUGCCGGAGCGAUGAGGUCAUUCCUGGGGGCGAAGCGUGCGUGUCCCCGCCCCGGCGUUCCUGCCCCAAUGAGACAAGAGCUAGAUCCCGGCGAUCUACGUUUCAGUCUUAACGGUUGCGGCGCGGCUCUGGCCCGGGCGCACGCGCACACUGACACGCGUACACGCACGCACGCGACCGGGGCGGUGGUUGGCGGCUACGGACGCGCGGGACUGGGGGACGGGCGGGUACGGCUAUGGGCGAGGCGGAGGCGCCUUCUUUCGAAAUGACCUGGAGCAGCACGACGAGCAGUGGCUACUGCAGCCAAGAGGACUCGGACUCGGAGCUCGAGCAGUACUUCACCGCGCGAACCUCGCUAGCGCGCAGGCCGCGCCGGGACCAGGUGGGAGCCAGGGGGUGCCGGCGGGCGGGAGGGGAGGCGGUCGCUGGAGCUCCGCCCUCCCCGGUCCGUUGCCGCGUCCUGGGUCGGUGGGCAGCCCCACCCUCCUGGCUACGUGGCUCCCCGCGGGUCCUGGCCGGGGACCUGCCCGCGGAACCGUGCGUAAGACCCCGAUUCCACCGCCUAGAUGCAGGGUGCCGGGGCCCCCUUGGUUUCUGUCACAGACAGGUUGAACACGGAAAAAGCAGCUGUGUGGCUUGUGGUAGACCUGAGCCGGGCAUUAUCCAGCUAUGACUAAAGCCGACCGAGCAGUCUGGACUAGCACCUCGAUUUCCGCGUUCGAAUGCUCCUGCUCCCUCCUUGGGGAGACUAGGGGAGGAUGUGGAGAGGGAAGAGUCCUCGCCAGGAAUUGAGAAGUAUGUUUAGGAAAACUUGAGAGGCAGAGAGAGAUCCUGCUCCUCCAUCUGCACUCCUGUAUGGAGCCAGCUGAGCCCUCACCUCUUCCCUGUUCUGGCCUGUCACCAGCUGCUGGAAUGUGGAAGAUUCUGAUCCCUUCCUCUAGGGUGGAUCUGGAGAAAGAUUUGGGAAUAGAUAGGAAAGAAGUCU
RNAcentral lists this small RNA (1386 nucleotides) under Pan troglodytes (chimpanzee). RNAcentral describes it as "processed transcript". The record is from RNAcentral. Lineage: Eukaryota; Metazoa; Chordata; Mammalia; Primates; Hominidae.